Molecule: ribosomal RNA, 164 nt
Filed under: uncultured bacterium
Lineage: Bacteria
Description: partial 16S rRNA
Rfam family: Bacterial small subunit ribosomal RNA
Source: RNAcentral
UAGGGAAUCUUCCACAAUGGGCGAAAGCCUGAUGGAGCAACGCCGCGUGUGUGAUGAAGGGUUCCGGCUCGUAAAACACUGUUGUAAGAGAAGAAUGACAUUGAGAGUAACUGUUCAAUGUGUGACGGUGUCUUACCAGAAAGGAACGGCUAAAUACGUGCCAA